UUGCAGUUAAAAAGCUCGUAGUUGGAUUUCUGCGGGGGCGGGGCGGCCGGUUGCUUAUAGCAACUCGAGCUAGCACUUCCCCUGCAUCCUGCCGCGAACCGUGCUACCAUUAGUUUGGUGGCGCCGGGGAUCGGCUCGUUUACUUUGAGAAAAAUAGAGUGUUCAAAGCAGGCCACACGCCUUGAAUAAGUUAGCAUGGAAUAAUGAUAAAGGACUUCGGUUCUAUUUUGUUGGUGUUCGGGACUGAAGUAAUGAUUGAUAGGGACAGUUGGGGCGGUCCGUAUUCCAAAGCGAGAGGUGAAAUCCUUAGACCUUCGGAAGACGAACAGCUGCGAAAGCGUUCCGCAAGGAUGUUCCCUUUGAUCAAGAACGAAAGUUGGGGGAUCGAAGCCGAUCAGAUACCGUCGUAGUCUCAACUAUAAACUAUACCAGCUAGGGAUCAGCCAACGUUUAAUUACACCGACUUGGUUGGCACCUUAUGAGAAAUC
RNAcentral lists this ribosomal RNA (488 nucleotides) under uncultured marine eukaryote. RNAcentral's name for it is "bacterial SSU rRNA". It matches the Rfam family "Eukaryotic small subunit ribosomal RNA", at positions 613 to 1099 of the family's 1831-position model. The record is from RNAcentral.